UACAGCUGUGCAAAGCUAAAUCUUCUUUUUCAAAUUUUGAAUUUCCUUUAUAACGGAAUCAAAUGAACGUUUGAAGAAGAAGAAGAACGUAAAAAAAUCUCUCUCAUUUUCCUGAAACCCUAAAUUUUUCAUUUUGCAUAAUGUCUUUAGAAGUUGAGUACCGAUACUUUUUUUUUCCGGCGGUCAAACACUAGAAAGGGCGUGUUCUCUCAGUUCGGCUACGGUUAUCGAUUCUAAGAUCGCGAGAAUUGGGGAAUAUCAAGGGGAUUCUGAUUCGUGAUCUCCAAGGACAAUAAAUCCUCCAUGUGAUGCUAUCAAAGAGAUCAUCGGGAAAGAACUUGAUGGCCGUAGCUUCAACGUGAACGUGGUGGUUGGUAAUGGAAGAUAAAAAAUGGUUUUGUGCUGCUCUGUUUUUGGUUUAGAUUUGUUCUGCAUCAUUGUGGCUCCGGUUUGUUUCUUGUUCUUGUUCUUAUGGUUUACUUUUUUGAUGUUGCAGAUCAUUUAAAGUCUUCUUUGCUUGAAGAAAAGAGACAUGUACUGAUACACACAUACCAAAAUGCACACAUGCAUUCAUGCAUACAUACAUGGAUUCUUUGAUUACUUCAUCACUUCUGCUUUCAUUUCUUGCUUGCUUCUUGGUUUUCGUUCUUCAUUCUUUGAUUUGUUUUUAUUUCCUAGUUCCUUCUUUGCUUACUUAUUUUAUGCUUUCUAUGCUUGUACACAUUCAUAUUUGCUUCUCUGUUUCUUUGAUUUGUUGUUUACUCACUUGAUUCCUUGAUUCAUUGUCUGAUCCUUUGUUUACUUAUUUUUUCUUUCGUUCCUUACUUACAUGCUUACUCUUUUCUUCAUUAUUUGCUUAUUGGUUUGUUUGUUACUUCCUUGUGUCCUUGUUUGGUUAAUUAAUUACUUGCUUCUGUAUUUUCUUCCUUAAUUCCUUGGCUAAUUUGCUUCAUUGUUUCCUAUCUUACAUGCUUAAUUUCUCUGUCAUUCUUCCUUAAUUCCUUGGCUAAUUUGCUUCAUUGUUUCCUAUCUUACAUGCUUAAUUUCUCUGUCAUUCUUCCUUAAUUCCUUAGUUAAUUUGCUUCCUUGUUUCCUUGCUUACAUACACGCAUACAUGGAUUCUUUGUUUGAUUUAUCAUUUCUACUUCCAUUCCUUGCUUGCUUGUUCACUUUCUUCUCUGAUUUGUUUUCUACAUACAUACAUCUAUGCAUACUUGCUUGUACACAUUCAUAUUUGCUUCUCUGUCUCUUUGAUUUGUUGUUUGUUUACUCACUUGCUUCCUUGUUUACAUACUUGUUACAUGCAUAUAUACAUACAUUUAUGCAUACUUGCUUGUACACAUUCAUAUUUUCUUCUCUGUUUAUGUGGUUUGUUGUUUGUUUACUCACUUGUUUCCUUAAUUCAUUGUUUGAUCCUCUGUUUACUUCCUUGCGUCCUUGCCUGCUUCCUUAAUUCUUUGCUUGCUUACUUACUUCUGUAUUGUGGUCCUUAAUUCAUUGGUUAUUUUGCUUCCUUGAUUACACACUUACUUUCUUACAUAUUGUCUUUCUUCCUUAACUGUUGAACUAUUUUUUUUUUUUACUUUACAUUAUAUCCUUAAAUUGCUUCCUUUCAUUAUACUCCCUGCUGUUAUAAGCGUCUCUGACACUAUAAGUGAGGAUCGUUUUGAUGUUAAACAUGGAAGUGAAGAGUGGUACAAGAAAUUGGAUCUCCAUUUUAAGUGACUUUUUUUUAGUAUCGGAUCAGUCCAUACUUUUGCAAAUGGGGUGAAGGCAUGCGUGUCUUGACAUACAACUCACCACGACCUGACGAUCAUCUGAAAUCGGAUGAAUACAUCUCUGAUCCAAGGCUUGCGGAUUAUGAAGUACCAUGUAGACAAGUUAUAGCAGGGGAUGAUUCAAGGAAAGUUACAUGUGGAAAGAAGUUAAGAUAUUGAGGAGUAAACCCCAUAGCCACUGAAUAUGGAUCACUUUGAUAGCCUUCGCUAGAUGGCCAAUGAAAAUUUUGCCUAUUCAAGCAUAACAAGGAUACAUAAUCAAGAGAGAGAUACAUUGAGUCCAAGCUUCAGGCCUAGAAACAGGAAUCAGUUACCAUUGAUGCUUAUCCCAAUGUUUGUGGUAACCAUAAAAGCAAAUAUAACAUGGCAAGUGGUUUGCGUCAGAUCAGAUGUUUUAAUCUUUUGAGGAGGUAGCACAUGAAUGUCAUUUUUGUCAUUGUUGCGAGCGCUCUUUUACAGCUGAAGAAGAGGAUAUAGCUUUGUUAAUAAGCAAAGGAAUACCACAAAGGGUAAAGGCUUCAAGCACGGGGGAACAUCUUAACGUAUUAGCAGUGGAAUCUUCCUAUGCUCACUAUGUAUUUCAGCAGCUAGAAAAACUACAGGCAGUUUUUGAAGAAUACUCUAAACUAACAAGGAAGUUAUUCCUCUCGCUGAGAAAACUUUGCAAGACCUCUGAAUGAUGUAUUAGAAAUCUCUGCCCAGACAAAAGCUGGCAAAGACUCAAUUGAAGCACUGGUGCAACCCCUGGAAAAUGCUGGCAGGAUCUUACAGGAAAUCGUAUCCUACCAAAAGCAAAUUGAAGAUCUUGAAUAUAAGCUCGAUUUCAGGGGUCUUUGGGCUAAAACUAUGGAAGAAAUCCAAUCAGAACUAAGUACCCUCCAUAGCAGCAAGGAUAAACUGCACGAUGAGAUGACCAGAUUUACAUAGAACGUGAUAUAUCAUGCCUCUAGGGAAGGUGGCAUGCAGUAAGGGAGGAGAAGGUUAAGGCUCGUGUUAUGACUACAUAAUAUUGUGCCUACCGAGAUGGGUCUCGAAGAGAUUGAAAACAGUAGGAUCUACUGUAAAACAAGAAACUAUAUCUCAGUUAAAGAGCUCUGUAUGGAAAGAAAAACUUGAAGGAACUUUGGUUGUGAAAGAAGAGACAUGAGGUUUACAAGAACUAGACAAGUCAAUGGAAAUCUUGUCCGGUUUAUUGUGUUCAGUUCCUGGUGGGAAGGAGAAAAAUGGGCAGGUUCAUCAACAAGUCAUUGAAAUCAUCACUGACAUAUCUUCGACUGCGGAAAAGUUUCUAAGAAGUGUGUCGUACUUUGCAUUACAGGCACUAGUGAUCGAGAUGAAGAUAUAAGACGCUAGCCUCUGCUAUGAAGUGCCCUAUUGCUUUCUGCAAAGCAGUUGGUCCUGAUUUGUUUCGAGAGGCUUUACAAAAUCAUGAAAGAGAACAAGAAUCCCAAGGUUUUUAGUGAAGGCUUGUUGUGGAUGGCUUCGGUAAUUGAUGACUUUGGUGUCUCACUUCUAAAAACUUUAAGAUAUUAGGAAGGAUGUUGUGAUGCAAUCUAAUAUAGCUGCCACCAGAAAUUCUAGAAUCAAACUUUUGGGUGCUUUAAACAAGUUUAAUGGUUCAGGUGACUAUGAAUUCCAUAAUGAAAGGUUCCGUAAUGAUGUCAAACAUGCACUACUAAGUGAACUUGAAGCUAAAUGGGACUGCGGCUCCAAAUAGAGUUGUAUUAAGACGUCUGUUUCAACAUCAACUUAUGCCGUGGAGGUCAGUAGCAAGAUUAGCCUAUUCCUCUUAAGGGAUAUGAGAGUCCUGAUUGGAAGAUGCGUUUGGAGUAAAUCGAAGCCGUAAAUAUAAUUCUACAGAAGCUAAUAAACGUUGACUACCAUUGGAGGUGUUGUAAUAGCUAUGGGACCAGCUAUCGAGAAGGCGAGCAAGGAAUGUCCCAGGGACAACUUGAGGCAGAUGAGAGAAUGCACCUUGACUGCUUGUGAUUCAUUUCUUGGUGUUGCUUGCUGGAUUAAUUGACUUGGUGGACUGGAUGCCAAACAUUUCUGAAACCUGCAAGCACCGUAAUGAUGGAAAAAUCAGCAAAUGUGUGAGAAAGAGCGGAAUGAUGCAUGACAGAGAUCUUGAGAGUCAGUGGACAAAAAACUAUUGGAAAGAAUAUCAGAGAUAUCUCAGGCUUAGUACUAGCUCUUGUGCUUGACAAAGUAAGACCAAGAUUUAUUCACGGGCCAGAGUGUUAAAAGGUGUUUCAAAGAUUUCAAAAUCAACUUCUAAUGGUAAACUGAAGCAAGGAAAUAGAGGUAUAACACUUAAAGAUGCAAGAGAUCAAAUUCAAAGUAUGGAAUCGUAUUCUCGAAGAGUUGGGAGAGGCAAGAAUUUCUUUAUGCUUCAUUUUAAGGUCUUUGAAGAGUCAGGUAAAAUCUAUGUCUCUCUUCUCAGGGUAAAAAAGUUAACACAAACACCGAACACACAAACAACAACAACAACUCACGAAAACUCACAACACAAUCACAGAAGAAUCGACAAAAAUUCCACAAACUAGAACUUCACAUGCCACGAAACACAACACAAAAAUCGACAGAAACUCCACAAACUAAAAACUUCGCAUGCCACCAAACACAACACAAAAAUAGACAAAAACAAACAAAACCCACACAAAUUAAAAUCUUCAUAUGCCACGAAAUCCAACAAAUUCACCAUCACCUGAAACAAGAGUCUCAAGGGUAAUAACGUCAAAUAUUUUCUUUCUAAUUUACUAGAGUUUAAUGCUGUCUAUUUAUAAUGCCAAUAACAAUUCAUAAAAAUUUAUGCAUGAUUUUAAUGCUAUAUUGGCUCAUUUUAAUACAUUUUUUCCUCCUAAGUACUUUACAACAUGUCACAAUAUUACUUUAUUUUUCUCGAUGUGAUUCAGUGUUUGUAACAUUGUUAUUAUUAUUUUUUUAUUAUUUUUGGUGAUAUUAGUUGAUGAAACAGUUGUAAAAUUAACUUCUCUGGAUGUAGGAUUUUUUUGUAA
Molecule: long non-coding RNA, 4795 nt
Organism: Arabidopsis lyrata subsp. lyrata
Lineage: Eukaryota; Viridiplantae; Streptophyta; Magnoliopsida; Brassicales; Brassicaceae
Exons: 26
Source: RefSeq, a predicted model, not a curated record